AUGGCACAGUGCCACAAGUUCCCCUCCCCUCGUCACCUCCACCUCCAUGGCCGGUCCCCGGAUUUCACUAUGGAAAAAAUGCGCCAAGUUUCCUGGAGUUGGCUCAAUUCCUCUCCCCCGACGAGGAGUCCGUGCUCCCCUACCCGAACCACGCAUCCAGGAGCUCCUCCCGGCCCACGGCGAUCUCCUGUGCGCGGCACCACCACUCUUCCUUCGAAUCAAGGCAUAAAGUUUGGAGCAUGUGAACAAGCAGUGCAAAUGGUGCAUUUUUUGUUUGAGCAUUUUGUGUAUAAAAAUUACAGGGACUCAUUUUGUGUUUGGGAUGAGACUAUUCAAAUAAUGUAG
RNAcentral lists this ribosomal RNA (345 nucleotides) under Triticum aestivum (bread wheat). RNAcentral's name for it is "partial small subunit ribosomal RNA". Lineage: Eukaryota; Viridiplantae; Streptophyta; Magnoliopsida; Poales; Poaceae. The record is from RNAcentral.